AACACUCGAGUACGUGACGUGUCCAAAGACGAAGUUGCACCAGGAUACCUUGCUUGGUAUAAAAGGGACGUGGAGCUUAGAAGGCCGGCUAAAAGACCCAAUCUUCAGGAAUUUGUUGAGGCGCCACAAGAACAAUGGGAUUGGUUGGCUAAGGAACAUGAGUACAGGGCCACAAUAGGAAAGCUGGAAAGGAAAGUUAAAGACCUUUGAUACGAGAAUGGUUUGCAAGCCACGGUAGAUGAGGGUGAAAAAAUAAGACUAGC
This 263-nucleotide long non-coding RNA is filed under the name Nicotiana benthamiana. Its description in RNAcentral is "long non-coding RNA (NBEN_LNC016120)". Lineage: Eukaryota; Viridiplantae; Streptophyta; Magnoliopsida; Solanales; Solanaceae. The record is from RNAcentral.